This is a long non-coding RNA of Canis lupus familiaris (dog), 644 nucleotides long. RefSeq lists it as uncharacterized. NCBI's taxonomy places the organism in Eukaryota, Metazoa, Chordata, Mammalia, Carnivora, Canidae. The record is from RefSeq and is a predicted model, not a curated record. The transcript has 3 exons.
UAUGGGUCCCGAGGUGAUGAAACAAAUAGGGCAAGACAUUCCAUUUGAGAGGGUCAUCCAAUUUAUGUUUGAAGCUGGGAAGCAUCACAAUUAUGAUCAGAAGGAGUAAAGUAUCCCUCGCCAUGAAAUUCACACGACAAAGCUGAGUGGCAUGAUUUCCCUGAAAACAGGAAGCCAGAGUUGCCAGACUUGAAGCAAAGAUCCUUGGCCCACACCAUGUUCCCCGGCUGGAGCAGUUUCACCUCCUCCUGAAGAAGCUGUUCCACAGGCCGCGCCAGCUGUCCUGGAGCGCUUGGAGGGCUGCUGGGCUGGAAAGGGGGUGCGUUCAUGAAUCAGCUGCGAACCAUUAGCAAAUCAGUUCACCCCCACCCCCACUGUGAGCUUCAAGUCUUUAUUUGUGCAAAGAGGGGAGUGGAACAGUUUAGUCAAUGACUGUUCUCCUUCACCAGAGACUACAGCACAACUGGACACUUCUUCAUCUGAACCCAAAUGCAAAUGCUCUAAGUUGAGAUGGAGUAUCAUCACUACUGUUACCUUUUAAAAGCAUUACAAAUUCAUUAUUAAUUUCAUUUUGCUUUUGUUUUAACAUUUCUGUAUCUCCCUUGUCUCAAGGUCACUUGGGAAUAAAACCAUUUAUAAAACUG